CCUACGGUAGGCAGCAGUGGGGAAUAUUGCACAAUGGGGGGAACCCUGAUGCAGCGACGCCGCGUGAGUGAAGAAGUAUUUCGGUAUGUAAAGCUCUAUCAGCAGGGAAGAAAAUGACGGUACCUGACUAAUAAGCCCCGGCUAACUACGUGCCAGCAGCCGCGGUAAUACGUAGGGGGCAAGCGUUAUCCGGAUUUACUGGGUGUAAAGGGAGCGCAGACGGCUGUGCAAGUCUGUAGUGAAAGGCGGGGGCCCAACCCCCGGACUGCUCUGGAAACUGUAAAGCUGGAGUGCAGGAGAGGUAAGCGGAAUUCCUAGUGUAGCGGUGAAAUGCGUAGAUAUUAGGAGGAACACCAGUGGCGAAGGCGGCUUACUGGACUGCAACUGACGUUGAGGCUCGAAAGCGUGGGGAGCAAACAGGAUUAGAUACCCUGGUAGUC
RNAcentral lists this ribosomal RNA (440 nucleotides) under uncultured bacterium. RNAcentral's name for it is "partial 16S ribosomal RNA". It matches the Rfam family "Bacterial small subunit ribosomal RNA", at positions 338 to 795 of the family's 1533-position model. The record is from RNAcentral.